RNAcentral lists this ribosomal RNA (1467 nucleotides) under uncultured Bordetella sp. RNAcentral describes it as "partial 16S-23S ribosomal RNA intergenic spacer". It matches the Rfam family "Bacterial small subunit ribosomal RNA". The record is from RNAcentral. Lineage: Bacteria; Pseudomonadati; Pseudomonadota; Betaproteobacteria; Burkholderiales; Alcaligenaceae.
AGUUUGAUUGCGGCUCAGAUUGAACGCUGGCGUGGAUGCUUUACACACAAGUCGAACGGCAGCACGGACUUCGGUCUGGUGGCGAGUGGCGAACGGGUGAGUAAUGUAUCGGAACGUGCCUAGUAGCGGGGGAUAACUACGUGAAAGCGUAGCUAAUACCGCAUACGCCCUUCGGGGGAAAGCGGGGACCUUCGGGCCUCGCACCAUUAGAGCGGCCGAUAUCGGAUUAGCUUAACCGCUGGUGGGGUAACGCUCACCAAGGCGACGAUCCGUGGCUGGUUUGAGAGGACGACCAGCCACACUGGGACUGAGACACGGCCCAGACUUACGGGAGGCAGCAGUGGGGAAUUUUGGACAAUGGGGAAACCCUGAUCCAGCCAUCCGCGUGCAUGAAAGGCCUUCGGGUUGUAAAGCACUUUUGGCAGGGAAAGAAACGGCACGGGAUAAUACCCCGUGCAACUGACGGUACUUGCAGAAUAAGCACCGGCUAACUACGUGCCAGCAGCCGCGGUAAUACGUAGGGUGCAAAGCGUUAACGGAAUUACUGGGCGUAAAGCGUGCGCAGGCGGUUCGGAAAGAAAGAUGUGAAAUCCCAGAGCUUAACUUCAACUGCAUUUUUAACUACCGAGCAGAGUGCACAGGGAGGUGGAAUUCCGCGUGUAGCAGGAAUGCGUAGAUAUGCGGAGGAAUUAGACGGCGAAGGCGAUUCUGGGAUAACACCGACGCUCAUGCACGAAAGCGUGGGGAGCAAACAGGAUUAGAUACCCCGGUAGUCCACGCCCUAAACGAUGUCAACUAGCUGUUGUGGGGCCUUCGGGCCUUUAUAGCGCAGCUUAUCAGCAAGAAGUUGACCGCCUGUGGGAGUACGGUCGCAAGAUUAAAACUCAAAGGAAUUGACGGGACUCGCACAAGCGGUGUGGAUACUGGAUUAAUUCGAUGCAACGCGAAAAAACUUACCUACCCGACAUGUUCAAAUCCCGAAGAGAUUUGGGAGUGCUCGCAAGAGAACCGGAACACAGGUGCUGCAUGGCUGUCGUCACCGUGUCGCAGAUGUUGGGUUAAGUCCCGCAACGAGCGCAACCUUUGCUGCCGGCUACGAAAGGGCACUCCAAUGAGACUGCCGGUGACAAACCGGAGGAAGGUGGGGAUGACGUCAAGUCCUCAUGGCCCUUAUGGGUAGGGCUUCGACGUCAUACAAUGGUCGGGACAGAGGGUCGCCAACCCGCGAGGGGGAGCCAAUCCUGAAGAAACCGACCAGUCCGGAUCGCAGUCUGCAACUCGACUGCGUGAAGUCGGAAUCGCUAGUAAUCGCGGAUCAGCAUGUCGCGGUGAAUACGUUCCCGGGUCUUGUACACACCGCCCGUCGCCAGCACCAUGGGAGUGGGUUUUACCAGAAGUAGUUAGCCUUAACCGUAAGGAGGGCGAUUACCACGGUAGGAUUCAUGAUCAGUAAGUCGAACAAGGUAA